This is a long non-coding RNA of Ailuropoda melanoleuca (giant panda), 722 nucleotides long. RefSeq lists it as uncharacterized. NCBI's taxonomy places the organism in Eukaryota, Metazoa, Chordata, Mammalia, Carnivora, Ursidae. The record is from RefSeq and is a predicted model, not a curated record. The transcript has 3 exons.
GGUACGGUCACUCUGGCCCAGAUGGCGCCUGCCUGCGGGGAGGGGCCCCUUGCGGUGAGAAGCCCCUCACUCAUCUCACACUGGCAGGGAGUGGAGUUCACUCUACAGAUCCCAGUGGAGUCAGAGGCCUGGACGCAGGGUCCCCUGCUCCCCCUCAGAGCACAGGUGUGAGUUCCUGUCUCCCCUGACCUCCUCGAGGGGACCAGAGGUGAGUACAUGUGGAUGGCAUGCUGGGGGUGGGCACAGUGGCACUGGCUUUGCAUUGACCACAGGCUUUUCUCUUGGCUAAUUCCAGAUGGAAAGGAAUGAACUGCAGCCGUGAAGGAUGCUCCUUUGUCAUCCGGGCUGGGUGGGGAGGCCCCAGACGGGAGAGGAGAUGGCCUGAGCAUGCCAGCUCUGCUCUCCUGCUCCCCAGGGUGGCAAGGCCACCGACACCUCUGUCCCAUCAAAGAGGGAAAACUCAUCAAGGGUUCAUGCCAGGCUGGGAAACAUCACAACAGAGAUGGACCGAAUGCCUUAACCCCGACUCCCCAUAACUUAAAGAGCCAGCUAGCCAGAUGCAAACGCGCGCACCAAGGCGAAGACUGAGCUUAAACUCAUCAACCAGGAGGGAAGGCUCUUCUGCCUGCGUCCUGCCUGGGACACACUCGGCCACGCUGCUGCAGUGCAACCACGGCCACCACGGGCACCGCAUCGCACCCGCCGCCCUCACCCACCUUCUU